AAAAACAAUACUACAUGGAGAUUAGAAAAGUGAUGUUUCUCUAUUAUCAACUCAACCGCUUUGCUUCUCAUGUUUCUUUCAGAACUAACGAAGUUUGGAAUAGAUGUUCUAAUGAAGUUGAAAGUCUUUCAUCAUCUGAAUAUUAAAUUCUCUUGAUGGAACAUUUGUUAUAAAAAUACUGGUUUAGUAUAUGGUGUACCGUAACAUUAUGGUUUAUUACUAUUCCAUUUACAUAAAUUAAAAUUUAAUCAUCCACGAAAGUAUAGUCUUUUGUUUCUUGUUUUUAUUUCUUUGACCCAAAUAAGGAUUCUUUUAACCUCAGCUUUCAAAUAAGAGGAGGUCCAACUCCAUUAGGGUUUUCUAACUAACAAGCAAACAAACAUACCUAAGUAUAAUUAACCUGGCUAAAAUAUGUAUCCUAAAACUACAUUUGAAGCUCUUGCUCCAAAAAAAAAAGAAAGAAUAAACGACUAACAAGCCAGGCUGAUCUAAAGCUGGAGUUGCAGCUCAAUUAUGUUUGCAUCUUCAAGAAAAG
Molecule: long non-coding RNA, 535 nt
Filed under: Brassica napus (rape)
Lineage: Eukaryota; Viridiplantae; Streptophyta; Magnoliopsida; Brassicales; Brassicaceae
Description: long non-coding RNA (BNAP_LNC005414)
Source: RNAcentral